RNAcentral lists this ribosomal RNA (483 nucleotides) under uncultured bacterium. RNAcentral describes it as "partial 16S ribosomal RNA". It matches the Rfam family "Bacterial small subunit ribosomal RNA", at positions 30 to 507 of the family's 1533-position model. The record is from RNAcentral.
AUUGAACGCUGGCGGCAGGCCUAACACAUGCAAGUCGAGCGGAUGAAGGGAGCUUGCUCCUGGAUUCAGCGGCGGACGGGUGAGUAAUGCCUAGGAAUCUGCCUGGUAGUGGGGGAUAACGUCCGGAAACGGGCGCUAAUACCGCAUACGUCCUGAGGGAGAAAGUGGGGGUCUUUGGGACCCCCGCCAAUAGGAGAGGCUAGGUCGGAUUAGCUAGGUGGUGGGGUAAAGGCCUACCAAGGCGACGAUCCGUAACUGGUCUGAGAGGAUGAUCAGUCACACUGGAACUGAGACACGGUCCAGACUCCUACGGGAGGCAGCAGUGGGGAAUAUUGGACAAUGGGCGAAAGCCUGAUCCAGCCAUGCCGCGUGUGUGAAGAAGGUCUUCGGAUUGUAAAGCACUUUAAGUUGGGAGGAAGGGCAGUAAGUUAAUACCUUGCUGUUUUGACGUUACCAACAGAAUAAGCACCGGCUAACUUCGUG